This 1499-nucleotide long non-coding RNA is filed under the name Orbicella faveolata. RNAcentral describes it as "uncharacterized LOC110062832, transcript variant X2". Lineage: Eukaryota; Metazoa; Cnidaria; Anthozoa; Scleractinia; Merulinidae. The record is from RNAcentral.
AAACCGGAAGUGAACCGAGCAUGGUGUGGUUACAAGUCACUAUUCUGAAGACAAGUCCAUAAAGCAACUGCUUAUAAAUAACAAGCUGAGAAAGACUCCAAGAAGACUGUCCUCUUUGUCCUGUAAAACAUAACGUGGAAUGUUUCAUUUAAGUCCCACCAGUGGGUAUACCAGACAACUUUAGUGUGAAAGUUGGGAAAAAAAACUAUUCAUGCUUUACCUACCGGUAAGUCAUAACAAUUAAGUUCAUUCAUUGCUAGCUGCUACCAUCAAUCAAAUACAUGUAACUAGGCAAGUUAAAUUUGGCUUCGUAUUAAAUAUCUAAAACGAUGUAUGGCCUGCUGUCAAAAUGUUGGGUCAGAAUUCUUAAUGGUUUAAAGGUAUCAUCACAUCAUUGCUGGGAGGGGUUUGUGUGGUGCUGGCCAGGGGUGGUGAGUUGAUGGCCUUGUGGUUAGUCAGUGGGAGUCUGGAUCAAUAGGUCUGAAAUGGAGCCCAAGCUGGGGUCACUGUGUCAUGCUCUCAGUCAAUAUACUCUACUCUUGCAAUGCCUCUUUCCGCCCAACAGUGUAAAUGGCACUGGCCAAUUUGUGAGGGCAACCUGACAAUUGCUUGGGGUCCCCUGCAGUGGACCAGCAUCUCAUCAAGGAUGAGAAGAAAAACUCCUAGUCACUUCAUGUCCCAGAGACUCGAGUUGACCACCUGUGCUGAUUAUCCAUCUGGCUUCUCUGAUCCCUUAGGAAUGGAACUGGCUUCCAUGACCUGUAGCCAGUGAAAACAUCACUGGAAUGUACCCAUUCUUAGCCACAAAGACUGGAAGAGGGAUUUGGUGUCCUGUGUGAAACAAACCUUUCACCAUUUAAGUCCAGCAUCCUUCACUAGAUAUACCACAGAACGUUUAAGUGAGGGAGGGAAAGGGCAUUUGUUAACAUACACUUUUAGCAAGCAAUUAUACAACGGAUGACUGGAAAUGUGGAGUGGAAGAUUUGGGCCAGGGCAGUAGUGGAUUGUGGAAUUGGGUGGGGGAAAUCAGGGAAUGGUACCCCUUGAAUUUGGUUGUACUGUCAGGUUGAUUCAAGAAUCCACAGUGAAGGACAAUUCUUCAGUAGUGUUUUGUUUGGCACUUAGUGUUGUGGCCACCAAGGUGAGGAUUCAAAUCUCUGAAUGAGUUUUUGUUGUUAUAGGAAAAAGUCAGGUCAAAUACAACAACAGUUAUUUCUACCUGAUAUUCAGAUGACGUACCUCAUUUGGAUGCACGGCUUCUGAUUGGUUGUUUAAAAUUGUGGGAAUGAUAUUGCAUGCUUGUUUGGGAUGAUAUCACAUGUCUUAAGCCAUAAAAGAGUAGCAGUUGGGGUGGAAAGUAAGUUGUGGUUGGUGAUCUUUUCUCAUUUCAGAGACUUCUCCAUCCUUUUUGCAUUUCGCUCAAGAUGUUUGAGUGUAUUUCUUGCAGGAACUACAGUGCAAAGACUUUCUAGCUGUGACAAAGCAUCAUCUUCCAUGCA